GGCAAGCUCAGCAAACAGAACCGCAAGCUG
This 30-nucleotide non-coding RNA is filed under the name Homo sapiens (human). Lineage: Eukaryota; Metazoa; Chordata; Mammalia; Primates; Hominidae. The record is from RNAcentral.